UGUGGUUUAAUUCGAAGCAACGCGAAGAACCUUACCAAAUCUUGACAUCCUUUGACAACUCUAGAGAUAGAGCCUUCCCCUUCGGGGGACAAAGUGACAGGUGGUGCAUGGUUGUCGUCAGCUCGUGUCGUGAGAUGUUGGGUUAAGUCCCGCAACGAGCGCAACCCUUAAGCUUAGUUGCCAUCAUUAAGUUGGGCACUCUAAGUUGACUGCCGGUGACAAACCGGAGGAAGGUGGGGAUGACGUCAAAUCAUCAUGCCGCUUAUGAUUUGGGGUACACACGUGCUACAAUGGACAAUAAAAAGGGCAGCGAAACCGGGAGGUGAAGCAAAUCCCAUAAAGUUGUUCUCAGUUCGGAUUGUAGUCUGCAACUCGACUACAUGAAGCUGGAAUCGCUAGUAAUGGUAGAUCAGCUGUGCUACGGUGAAUACGUUCCCGGGUCUUGUACACACCGCCCGU
RNAcentral lists this ribosomal RNA (459 nucleotides) under uncultured bacterium. RNAcentral's name for it is "bacterial SSU rRNA". It matches the Rfam family "Bacterial small subunit ribosomal RNA", at positions 940 to 1397 of the family's 1533-position model. The record is from RNAcentral.